CCUACGGGAGGCUGCAGUGAGGAAUAUUGGUCAAUGGGCGUAAGCCUGAACCAGCCAAGUCGCGUGAGGGAUGAAGGUUCUAUGGAUCGUAAACCUCUUUUAUAAGGGAAUAAAGUGUGGGACGUGUCCUGUUUUGUAUGUACCUUAUGAAUAAGGAUCGGCUAACUCCGUGCCAGCAGCCGCGGUAAUACGGAGGGUCCGAGCGUUAUCCGGAUUUAUUGGGUUUAAAGGGUGCGUAGGCGGCCUUGUAAGUCCGCGGUGAAAGUCUGUGGCUCAACCAUAGAAUUGCCGUUGAAACUGGGAGGCUUGAGUAUGUUUGAGGCAGGCGGAAUGCGUGGUGUAGCGGUGAAAUGCUUAGAUAUCACGAAGAACCCCGAUUGCGAAGGCAGCCUGCCAAGCCAUGACUGACGCUGAUGCACGAAAGCGUGGGGAUCAAACAGGAUUAGAUACCCCAGUAGUC
This 460-nucleotide ribosomal RNA is filed under the name uncultured bacterium. Its description in RNAcentral is "partial 16S ribosomal RNA". It matches the Rfam family "Bacterial small subunit ribosomal RNA", at positions 338 to 795 of the family's 1533-position model. The record is from RNAcentral.